This 74-nucleotide transfer RNA is filed under the name bacterium. RNAcentral describes it as "tRNA-Pro". It matches the Rfam family "tRNA". From Rfam's summary of the family: Transfer RNA (tRNA) molecules are approximately 80 nucleotides in length. Their secondary structure includes four short double-helical elements and three loops (D, anti-codon, and T loops). RNAcentral also lists the same sequence under 2 other names. The record is from RNAcentral.
CGGGGUGUAGCUUAGCUUGGUAGAGCGCCAUGUUCGGGACGUGGAGGUCGUGGGUUCAAAUCCCACCACCCCGA